Molecule: ribosomal RNA, 1070 nt
Filed under: Trypanosoma congolense
Lineage: Eukaryota; Euglenozoa; Kinetoplastea; Trypanosomatida; Trypanosomatidae
Description: partial small subunit ribosomal RNA
Rfam family: Eukaryotic small subunit ribosomal RNA (bases 885-1070)
Source: RNAcentral
UUGCUGUCCUUCCGAAGCGCCUGAGUAACAGCGAGUCAUGCUGUGAGCGUGUGUGUACUUUGUUCACACGCCGUGUUUGCCCAUGUGUGUUUGUCGUGGAAGCCGUGUGCUCUUUAUGUGUUGUGGUGCGCGUGUGCGUUUCCCACAUAUCGCGCACAAUCCCGAAAAUAACACCGACGCAUGCGUACUUGUGUGUGUGCCGGUGAGUAUUUUGCUCUUCCCCCAAAAUGGUUGUGCGGGGUGGGGUUAGGGUAUAUGUGUAGUUUGCGUGCUUAGUUUGACGCGGUCACGAAUGUAACGCGCAGUGGUGAGGGUGUGGUGUGUGCGGCGCUGAGUGCUGUUCGCGGAACUCGUUUCGUGUUCGCCUUUUUGUGCCUAUGUGUAUCCACCGCGUUGUGAUCUGCUGGUUGAUGUGGGAAGCGGUGCUCGAUGAUGCCGCGCUUGGAGGAAUCUCUCCCUCUCACCUUUUGGGUGUCAGGAUCACAAAAAAAUUGAGGUCACCAUAGAAAAACAACAGCCAUUACCGCCACCAGCGCGAUGCGCGUGCGAGAGUGGAGUGUAGAUUCUUUCUUUCUCGCUUUUCUCACGUGCGUGUAUUCUUGCGCAUGCUGUUCGCGCACGCGCUGUGUGUGAGGUGUGUAGGGUGUGUGUGGUGUUGUGUAGUUAUGUAAUAAUUGCGUGUAGAUGUGUGUGCACACACCGCUACCGCCGUUCACCACCCAACCUGGAGUGAGUGACGUUAUUGUGUAUUGCAUUGUGAGAGGGCCGCGUGUAUGUGUGGUGUGUGUGUCGUGUCUCCUCGGUGUGGUAUGUAUGUGUUCAUAGUAUACACCCCGUGCGAGAACACCCACUCCUCCUCCAUGCCGUGGUGUGCCCCCACGUGCGAUCUGGUUGAUUCUGCCAGUAGUCAUAUGCUUGUUUCAAGGACUUAGCCAUGCAUGCCUCAGAAUCACUGCAUUGCAGGAAUCUGCGCAUGGCUCAUUACAUCAGACGUAAUCUGCCGCCAAAAUCUUGCGGUCUCCGCAUUAUUGGAUAACUUGGCGAAACGCCAAGCUAAUACAUGAACCAAA